RNAcentral lists this ribosomal RNA (249 nucleotides) under uncultured bacterium. RNAcentral's name for it is "partial small subunit ribosomal RNA". It matches the Rfam family "Bacterial small subunit ribosomal RNA", at positions 26 to 288 of the family's 1533-position model. The record is from RNAcentral.
AGGACGAACGCUGGCGGCGUGCUUAACACAUGCAAGUCGAACGAGGCGCUUGCGCCUAGUGGCGAACGGGUGAGUAACACGUAAGCAACCUGCCCUUGGCUCUGGGAUAGCCUCCGGAAACGGGGAUUAAUACCGGACAUGACCUUCUCCUGCAUGGGGGAGGGUGGAAAGUUUUUCGGCCAGGGAGGGGCUCGCGGCCUAUCAGCUUGUUGGGGGGGUAACGGCCCACCAAGGCGACGACGGGUAGCC